UCGAUAACAUCAGUAGUAUAGAUGCACAGUAAUACACAAUACCAGUAUUUUUUUUGAAAUUUGUAUUUGCAAUAAAUGUCUCUAUAUUUUUGUAAGAUUUUUACUGACACCUUGACGUUUUGACUGAAGUGGACCCCAAUUUGCGACCGGCGAAACAUUCUGGCCAGUUGGCCAUCCCCACCGCCUCGGCGCCGCUCCAGUUCUCUCCGCCCUCCCCGCCGCCCCGUGUUCAUAUAACCCCUUCACCCACCCCACGCCCUCGCAGCCUCGCUAGCAACCGCCCGCCUGCUCCCCCCCACGCCCUCGCUAGCAACCUCCCGCCUGCUUCCUGAAGCUUCUAGGACAGGUGAGCCAUGGAAGUGGAGCUGUCGUCCGGCUCGGUGGCGGCGAUCUGGGAGGGCGAGGUGGCGCGGGAGAUGCCGCUGGUGCUGCAGGUUCUGCUGCUGCCCAUGUGCUCGUGCGCAGAGCGUCCAGAACCAGGGUGGUACCAUGCGGCGCUCUCGGACGGCGCCCACCAAAUCUACGGUCAUCUGCGCCUCGACGAAACCGCCUCGGCAGCCGUCCGGGCUGCCCCGCUUGGUUACGGCGCCGUGGUCCGCCUCUUCGACUUCGAGACCAGAACAAAUAUCGAGGGUUUGAGGUCAAUUGACUCUGAACAUGUUGAAGUGCUGCAUACUUCCUUGAAAAUUGGGGAUCCCAAAACAUACCGGCCUGGAUACUUGGUAAAAAAGCAUGAGAAAUUGGAUGCUCAAGUAGUGACUAGUUCUUCCAAACAGAACUUUGGAGUCAAUCCUAUCGGUCAAGGCUUGAAACUACUUUUGAUAAGGGGGGUGGUGGCGAUGUUGCAGCAUCCUGUGAUGCAGGUGGUUGGUGUCUCACUGCUGAGAUCAGAUCCAAAAUCUCUUCUGAAGUACCAUUUGAUCCUCUCUGAUGGCGUGCAUACACAGAAUGCUACACUACAUCCCUGCCUCAACCAUCUAGUUGAGGAAACUCACCUCCGCAAGGGCACCAUUGUCCGCCUCCUUGAAUUUGUUUGCUGUAAUGUUCGGUAUUGCAGUAUUAUCACUGUUUUCCAACUUAAAGUGCUGCUGAUAGAGUGUGAGCUGAUUGGAAGCCCCAAAGCAUGUGAGCUCUGUUGCAUUGAAAAAGUCUAUGGACUUGAGAGUGAAUCUGUUGAACCAUAUUCUGGAUCAGUGUCCAAUUAUGCUCAACCAAAUAAUGGACCCUAUUUUAAUUGUCAAGGCUUGAAUCGGUACCUUACUCAGGGUGCAGUAGCAGCAAUAAUGGAGGGUGAGAUGGUGGUAAAGCGGCAGCCAGUGCUGCAGGUGGUUGAUUUCUCACUAGCAAGUCACAAUGGGUUCAGCUUUUACCGUAUAUUGCUCUCAGAUGGUGUCCACCAGGUGUAUGUCAACCUCUUUCCCCACCUAAGCCACCUGGUUGAGGGCAGUUGCCUCCGGAAAGGUACAAGAAUCCGCCUUCUCAGGUUCAUCCGUGACACAGUUGACCAGGACCAGAAUUGCAGGAUUGCCAUUGCUGCGGAACUUGAAGUACUCCAAACAGAAUGUGAGCUGAUUGGAAACCCAACCUUCUAUGAGCUUGGAAAUAAACAGAGCCACUCCAAUUCGGAGUCCUUACUGCCCAUUUCUGGAAGCUUCUGCAAGGAUCAGGGAGGCAUGGAGAUGCAGGCAAGCCUGACGUGGGGAGCAGUGGCGGCCAUCUGGGAGGAUGCGGCUGUGGUGGUGCAGCCAGUGUUGCAAGUGUUUGACCUGCUUGUAUGGACAGAGAUGGAUGAACCAUGGUUAUCCCCUAUCUUGCUCUCGGAUGGCACCCAUUUGAUCCGCGGCGGCCUUUCCCCCCUACAUAAUCAGCUCAUUUAUGUUCAGAGAUGGCCGCCUCCACAUGGGCACAGUGGUCCGACUCCUUGAGUUCACGUGCCAUAAUGACAGAAGUGAGAGGGUCAUUGUUGUGUUAAAACUUGAAGUGCUGCGGACGGAUUGCACGAUGGUUGGAAAUCCCAAACAGUAUCCAUCUGGCAAGUUGGAAAACAAGCGUGAGGAAUUGGACCCUGAAUCAGUGUCCAGUAAUGCCAAACUGAACUGUGAAGCCUAUUCUGCUGGGCAACGCCUGAAGGAAUUCCUGACAAGAAGGGGGAUGGUAACCGCAUUGCAGCAGCCUGUGAUGCAGGUGGUUGAUGUGUCACUGUUGAGAUCAGAGCUGAAGAAGUUUGGGAGGUACCACUUGGUACUCUCUGAUACUGUGUACACACAGGAUGCUACACUGGCACCUGGCUUGAAUCACCUGGUUGAAAACAUUCUCAUCAAGGGUUCCAUCAUCCGCCUCCUUGAGUUUAUUUGCGAUACCACCAAGAGUCCCAGUAUGAUCAUUGUUAUCCAACUUGAAGUACUGCAAACAGUAUGUGAACUGAUUGGAAGCCCUAAAGCAUAUGAGCUCUCCUUAUUUGAAAAACCCUAUGUGCCUGAGGGUAAAUAUGGGGAACCAUAUCCCAGAUCAGUGGCCAAUUACACUCGACCAAUGAAUGGACCCUGUCCUAGUGGCCAAGGCUUCAAGGGCCAUCUGACUUGGGGAGCAGUGGUGGCAAUUCUGGAGGGUCAGAUGAUAGCAGAACGGCAGCCUGUGAUGCAGGUGCUUGGUGUCUCAAAAGAUAAUCUAGGACGGUACCUUAUUUCGCUCUCUGAUGGUGUCUACUGGACACGCGGUUUUCUCAUAUCCAACCAAAGACACCUGGUUGAUAAUAAUUGCAUCUGCAAAGGAACUAUAGUUUGCCUCCACAAGUUCUUCUUUGACACCUUUCGGAAUUGCAGGACCAUCUAUUUUGCGCAAUUUGAAGUGCUCGAAAAGAAAUGGGAGCUGAUCGGUAGCCCUGCCUAUAAACCUGUAAACAAGCAGAAGGGAUCGGAUGCUGGCCAUGCUUCCUACAUUCCCUACAUUCCUGCAGACGCUGCGGGACAAUCCUCUGGCCAAUCUCAUCCUAGAUACAAAGGCACCCCAGGUUGAUCUGAUCCGGUGCUUCACAUGGAGAAUCUGUCUCUUGCUAUCCAUUCCCCGUAUAGUACAUUGAUGUUCUUGUAUCAUACUAGCUAGCUACACGGCUGGUAUUUUGGUUGCAAAUCUGACUCGAUCCCUGGUAUGGUAGUAACUUUUCUUUUUGAGGUCGGAGGUACAUAAACUUGAACACGGAGCAGAAGUAAUGUGAACAAUGUUGCCUAGGAAUAUGACUGCCAUGAGUUGGACAGUA
Molecule: RNA transcript, 3256 nt
Organism: Sorghum bicolor (sorghum)
Lineage: Eukaryota; Viridiplantae; Streptophyta; Magnoliopsida; Poales; Poaceae
Exons: 7
Source: RefSeq, a predicted model, not a curated record